UGCAUUUAAUCAUCUUCCGAUGAAUGCUAGAGAAACUGAUCUAGAGUGGCUCCUCUUGGUUAGAACUAGCUGAAGCAUACUGUAUAUACUUACUACUUUUAAAAAUUUCAUAUAAAGGAAUAGAAAAUAAUACUGGAAAAAAAACAAAAAAGGUCACAAUCUUCCAUAAUUCCAUCACUCUUACCAAUUACCUGAAGUUAAAAAACCCUCUCAAGUUUCUCCCUUUGCUUAUCAAGCCCUGCUGCAGAGAGGUAAGCUCUGUUCAGAAUUUGCUUUGUGUCCUGGAUUUUUUCCUAUGCUCACAGAGACAGGAUUAGCUGGCGGUCUUGCUUUGUGUGCUAUCUUUCUAGACAUGUAAAAUAAUACAUUUGAAAUACUUGUUUUAAUGGUAUUUUAUAAUAAAGCAGCUAUUAAUAACUUUCCUUUUUUUCUUUAUUCCAGCCGUCUUUGUGGCAAUUCUACAUUGGUUACAUUUAGUAACACUUUUUGAAAAUGAUCAUCAUUUCUCUCACCUCUCAUCUUUGGAACGGGAGAUGACUUUUUGCAUUGAAACGGUUAGGUUUCUUCUUCUAACGAAUUAAUUUGUGGUUUAAGAAUAGCCAGACCGAGAGGUGACAGCAUGCUGGCAGUCCUCAGAGCCCUUGCUUGCUCUCGGCACCUCCCCUGCCUGGGCUCCCGCUUUGGUGGCAUUUGAGGAGCCCUUCAGUCCCCCACUGCACUGUGGGAGCCCCUUUCUGGGCUGGCCAAGGCCGGAGCCCACUCCCUCAGCUUGCAGGGAGGUGUGGAGGGAGAGACACGAGCGGGAACCGGGGCUGUGUGCUGCACUUGCGGGCCAUCUGGAGUUCCGGGUGGGCGUGGGCUUGGUGGGCCCCGCACUCAGAGCAGCCAGCCAGCCCUGCUGGCCCCGGGCAAUGGGGGACUUAGCACCUGGGCCAGUGGCUGCGGAGGGUGUACUGAGUCCCCCAGCAGUGCUGGCCCACCGGCGCUGCGCUCGAUUUCUCGCUGGGCCUUGGCUGCCUUCCCACGGGGCAGGGCUCGGGACCUGCAGCCCGCCAUGCCUGAGCCUCCUACCCAAUCCAUGGGCUCCUGUGCGGCCUGAGCCUCCCCGACGAGCACCACCCCCUGCUCCACGGCGCCCAGUCCCAUCGACCACGCAAGGGCUGAGGAAUGCGAGCGCCCGGCACAGGACUGGCAGGCAGCUCCACCUGCAGCCCCAGUGCAGGAUCCACUAGGUGAAGCCAGCUGGGCUCCUGAGUCUGGUGGGGACGUGGAGAGUCUUUAUAUCUAGCUCAGGGAUUGUAAAUACACCAAUCAGCACCCUGUGUUUAGCUCAAGGUUUGUGAGUGCACCAGUCAACACUCUGUAUCUAGCUGCUCUGGUGAGGGCGUGGAGAGUCUUUAUGUCUAGCUCAAGGAUUGUAAAUACACCAAUCAGCACUCUGUGUCUAGCUCAAGGAUUGUAAAUACACCAAUCGGCACUCUGUAUCUAGCUCAAGGUUUGUAAACACACCAAUCAGCACCCUGUGUUUAGCUCAAGGUUUGUGAGUGCACCAGUCGACACUCUGUAUCUAGCUGCCCUGAUGGGGACGUGGAGAACCUUUGUAUCUAGCUCAGGGAUUGUAAACGCACCAAUCAGCGCCCUGACGAAACAGGCCACUCGGCUCUACCAAUCAGCAGGAUGUAGGUGGGGCCAGAUAAGAGAAUAAAAGCGGGCUGCCCGAGCCAGCAUUGGCAACCCGCUCGGGUCCCCUUCCACACUGUGGAAGCUUUGUUCUUUCGCUCUUUGCAAUAAAUCUUGCUACUGCUCACUCUUUGGGUCCACGCUGCUUUUGUGAGCUGUAACACUCACCAUGAAGAUCUGCAGCUUCACUCCUGAGCCCAGCGAGACCACGAGCCCACCGGGAGGAACGAACAACUCCAGACACGCCACCUUAAGAGCUGUAACACUCACCGCGAGGGUCCACCGCUUCAUUCUUGAAGUCAGUGAGACCAAGAACCCACCAAUUCCGGACACAAGACUAUGAGGGACUUUAUUAUUCUUACUUCAAGACCAUUAUUGAAGCACCUUCAUUUUUGGGAGGACUGUGGAUGAUUAUGAAUGACAGGCUUACUGAAUAUCCUCUUGUAAUUAAUGCAGUAAAACGCUUCCAUAUUUAUCCAGAGAAUUCUGGAGUCCAAGGAAGACCAAGAUCAAGGCGCCAGCAGAUUUGGUGUCUGGUGAAGGCUGCUCUCCGCUUCCAAGAUGGUGCCUUGAUGUUGCAUCUUCCUGAAGGAGAGGAACACUGUGUCCUCACAUGGCAGACAGUAGGAGAGUAAUCAUAGCCUCCUGGUAUCGCACAUUCAUGGGAAUAGUGAAUUUAUUUGGACUAGAAACUAAGACCUGCUGGAAUGUCACCAGAAUAGAACCUCUUAAUGAAGUUCAAAGCUGUGAAGGAUUGCGAGAUCCUGCUUGCUUUUAUGUUGGUGUAAUCUUUAUUUUAAAUGGACUAAUGAUGGGAUUGUUCUUCAUAUAUGGAACAUACCUAAGUGGUACUGAACUGGGAGGUCUUAUUACAGUACUGUGCUUCUUUUUCAACCAUGGAGAGGCCACCUGUGUGAUGUGGACACCACCUCUCCGUGAAAGUUUUUCCUAUCCUUUCCUUGUACUUCAGAUGUAUGUUUUAACUUUGAUUCUCAGAUUAGGUGAUGGAAGCUGCCCAUUCUUCAUCACCCCUUGCUACUCAU
RNAcentral lists this long non-coding RNA (2723 nucleotides) under Homo sapiens (human). RNAcentral describes it as "non-protein coding lnc-NAPEPLD-5:7". Lineage: Eukaryota; Metazoa; Chordata; Mammalia; Primates; Hominidae. The record is from RNAcentral.